Long non-coding RNA from Lathyrus oleraceus (garden pea), 858 nucleotides. RefSeq lists it as uncharacterized. The transcript is spliced from 2 exons. The record is from RefSeq and is a predicted model, not a curated record. NCBI's taxonomy places the organism in Eukaryota, Viridiplantae, Streptophyta, Magnoliopsida, Fabales, Fabaceae.
GUCUGGUAAACUAAUUGGGCUGGAGGCCCAAAGAUACAUACACCCAAGUUAGAAAAGGAUCCAUCCAAACUCAGAACGAAAAAACACAUUCCCAAUUCUACACACGUCCUCUCCGUCUCCGCCGCGCCGGAGCUCUUUGGCGGUGACGGCGGAGCUCACAACAAAGCACCUCAAUCUCUUCACCCUUGCCUCACGGUCACCUAUCCACCAACCAAAACCUCUCAAACUCAAACACGGAGCCGAAUCGAAGAAGGAAGACAAACGGAAAUAUUGAGCAAAACGCGAUGAAACGUGAAACAAGCUAAGGGAUAAAGCUUCUCAGAUGAAACGAGCUCGCGGCGGAAAGACGGAGGGAAACGCAGCUCCGACGCGGAGACCUCGGUGAAACGAAGGCAAAGGUUCAGAUGUGGUAGUGAGUGGUGCAUAUGUUUUCUAUGUUUGACGGUUGCUUGUGUUGUGAUGCAUCUCAUUCAAACACCUUGUCAUUGUGAGCUGCUGAUGUGUGCAUUGUUGUCGCUGGUUCAGAUGUUGGGGGCUUGGGAAUUGCUGAUGUUUGUCAUGCCAAAGUAUCGUCCAUGGUGGUCAUGGAGUGUAGUAUUUAGGACUAUGUUGUGUAGCAUAAAAAAUAAAAACUAGUGUAGGAUUUGGACCUCUUUGUAAGAACAACAAGUAAUGUCACAUUUCAUUGCCCAUUCUAGCAAUGUAUUGAUAUGGUUUAAGCUUAGGACUUGUAUUGUUGUUUGUAGCAUGAUGUAUGGAGUCUUGAAACAUGUAAUGAGGUCACACUUUUGUAAUCAAAUUCUUCACCAAAUCACAAUGCAAAUCUCAUGGAUGGAUGCAAGUAAAGAGUGAAUGUCA